UUUCGUUAAUUUUCUUCCCUUGCCCCAAAGGAAUGGAUGAAACCCUCCUUUAUAGGCAUAUUUUGGAGUGUACAAGCUUCUCAAAAGGCUCUAAAUUGGACUCAAACUUGAAAUUCAAAUUGUUGAUGGGACAAUCCAGAGCUUAAACAGAUACGGUGAGGGGGGGAAAGAUUACCUCUUUCAAAUUGAUUUAAAGUAGAAAAUCGGGUGGAAAAACCUUAUCCUCCUAGGGUGUAGAUUUUCUCCUCUCCACCAAGCUAACAGUGGAGAGGAUGAGACUUCUGCGACCUGAAGAGUCAAAUAAAAUAGGAGAAGGGCGAGAUUUAUGCUGACAACCCCAUUUCCCGCUGAACCAUUUUGAAAAUUCAAUAAAUUUGAGGUGAGGGGGAUGGCUGCACAGGGGAGUGGUUGGAGUUUGUCGUAGGGGCUGUGUAGUGGUGUUGAAGAUGAAGAUGAUAAAAUGAAAGAGAUGACAGACAUGCUUUGAGAGAAAAGCCGUAUUUGGUGCUGCUUUUGUCCACUAAAAUUUGGAUUGUCCAUUGUUUGAUUGAACGGUUCAGAUUUAGUAUAAGAAUAAAAGAAAAUGAUAAAUUAUAUAUUUAAAUAUAAAAAUAAGUAAAUAAUUAGAAUUUUUGAGACUUACCCGACUAGAAAUAAUUUAAAGGAGUAGAUCAAUUUGUGUGGAAUGGCAAAGCGUUGUCAAAUUUGACACUUCAAAUCAAAUUUGACUUAGGAACUCAAGCAAAGUUGGCCAGCAGACUCUUGGAUUUUUUUACUUGGUGACAUGAAUUUAACAGAUCCUAAACAGAGAUGAUCAAUGGAGGUUUGAGAAGAUAAUAUUCAUACAACUUGGAGCAUAGAUUUUAAAGCCAAACAAACAAAAGUUAGGAGCUAAACUGCAUGAUGGAUGAGCACAAAGUCAUAACUUAAUCGCAUGUGUUCGUAACCCGUAAGUGAAACACGAUGGACUGUGAACGGACAUGAGUGAAAUGACUGAUUCAAGGUGUCUUAGCGAUUAAAAAACUGAAUUACGAGUAUCCCAGGUAAGAAAGCAAGACACCUGUGAUCACUGACUUUAGCGAAAUUGAUUUCUUAGAAAAUAGUAAUGACAGUUGAACAUUAAAAAGAGAAUUUACACUCUCUGAGAAAUUUAAACACGAUGUAUCAUCCUAUGAGUUGAAAAGAAAUGGGUGAGACACUUCUCUUGUGCAAAUUCCAAAAUCGAGGCUCAGGCAAUCUUUCGGAAGUUAAGACAUCCAACUUGUUUAUCUUAGCUCUAGAGCUCAAACUAGACUAAUUAUUUAAGCUAAUUACUUAUACUAAAAGAAAACAAAUUGGGACAUGCUUAGCCAGAGAAAAAGAUAUUCAAACUAGUUAAAAAAUAACUAUCUUUACAUUGAGUUGUCAAGCCUCGCUAAUCAUUCUUAAUGCCCAAGUUAACAAAAAAAAAAGAAAUACUUUCAGAAGUUUAAGGCUUGUAUAACCCGUUCUUAUGCUAAGUUAUAAGUUCAAAAUCACAUUUAAGUAAACGUCUAUCCUAAAUAAAUGACAACAAGAUGUCAUGUUCUACAAUUCCGCUACAGAUAGUUUGGUAAAGCUUUGACCCUUAAAAAAAUGAGUCAGAUUGUCACUUCAGCAUCGCCUUAACAGGUUUCAAAAUCACAGAAAAAUGAUAGCUCAUGGAUACCAAUAUGAUUCUGUGCAUAACACAGAAGGAAAAGUGUACGUCUAGAUUUUAACACCUACAUUUACUUGAAAAUAUGUCAACAUGUUGUGUUAUCCUAUAUUUUUUGGAAACUAUUUUCAUGCCUAAUUUAAUGGCUACGGGGGUCUUGUAACCUCACAGACGAGUCCAGGAAAAAAAAUUAAGAAACCAUUACCAUGUCAAAAAACCAACGUCACACUAAAAUUUAAACAAUCAGUUACUCUACAAAUAUGCCUCAGUUUAAUCUAAACCAAACUACCAAAAAGCUAUUUUUGCUUCAAGUUGUUGUUUGUAACUAGUCAAACAAAAGACUAAGAGGGGACUUAGACAAACAACCUGCGCAUUGGGGAACUUAGACAAAGAUGUACAAGGAUGGGUCCAAACACUAGUGCAUGUGGCAAGCAGGUUAACAGAGUCAAGAACAUACUAACACCAACAUAAUUUUAGGGUGCGGUAAUGGACAAACAAGAUUCCAAUUUCGGUCCAAUUUAACGGUUGCGACUUAUGCCAGCCACUUAGUACUUAGAGAACCUUUUCGGAAAUGACAUAUAUCACACAUCACUGAUGCAAGAUAAUCAUAUUCAGAAAGAAACGAGAUGAGAAUAACACUUAAAAACUAGAAAUUUGCGAGAGAAAAGAAAAAAAAGGAACUUUAGAUCCAAGGUUAGUCCUUCAUAUUCAAGAAUACUUUACUUUUUUGAACUCAUAUAUAAUCACACAUAUCACACAGAACAUCCCCACAUGAUAAUGCAUUCAAACAGAGAUGGGUACUUUCACAUGCUCUUAAUCCUCAAAAAGAGAAGUAGUAAUGCGUCAAACAUAUUGAAAACAAAUAUUUGACAAGCGAUAUGAAUUCAGUCCUUCAGACAGUAGCAUUGAAAAGAAAAAGAAAACAGAAAUGAAGAAGACAGGAGGAAUUUAGAAGCAAAGCAACCAUAUAUUGACACAAAGGACAAUCAAGGCUAAACCAUGUUCUUGACCACGAAUUGCCAGAACUUGAUUUGUUGGAAAGCAGAUAGCAAUAUCAAUAUAGCUUGAAGCUAUAAAUCGCGUAUCACAGAACAAAAAUAGAUAGAUGAAAGAAAAAAAACUAGAUAAGGGGAUGGAUUUUACGCUCUACACUUCUAGACCAAACAUAACCUCUCCUAUUAUUAACUCUAAUCCACAUAUUAUCACACAUCUAAAGACAAACAACCUUACGCAACGACCAACUAGACUAAAUCAGAAGGCAAAAAAAAGAAUAGAUUUUUAUUUCAGUUUUUCAUGUCCAAUACCAUCAAUUAACAUCCCGAAUAAUUACUUGGUAUAUAAAUGGUUCAUAUUCUCAUUCACAGCCUACCAAAAUAAAAUAGAUUACUCCUAUCGAGACUUCAUAUUUAAGAUAUUCAGGCUAAAUAAUGAAAUAAGAUAUUUCAUCACAUAUUACAUGAUGGAUAAAAAUCAGAUAACUAGAGAAUGAAUCUUAAUUUAUACUAGUUAUUAAUAACAUGAGCAGCACACGUCAAACACAACGAACAGAGCACCUUUUAUUCUCAUCAAAUGGACAUGAAUUCUUUGCCCACCGCGAUGCAACACCCUAAACUAUUUUACUUACUGAUUUUAGUAAAACAAUAGCAGGAUACAUUAAGGCAAAGUUUAAGCUAGCGACAAAGUUACUUUAAGCAAUCAUAUAUACAAUGGACAACAAAUCUUCUCUUCUUGACUCCCAAGACUAAUCAAAAACCAAUUCUGUAAGGGAUCAUAGCAGCCCCUCCAUAUUGUGAUCAAAUGGGACUUUUUUUUACUGUAAUAUAUCAAUAGCUAAUAAACAGAUAAUGGUCCAAAUGAUUGAGAAUCCAAACAGUGAAGAAACAUGAAGUUAUAACUCUAUGUUGACCGCUUUUGCAUUCUUUUAAUCUUAUUUAGAUACACAAACCCACCUAUCAUCACUAAUCCUUUACCGUAAAUCGACAAAGGGAUGACUGAUAAUUCAAACUACGCAGUCACAUUAUUGUAUAUCUCGAACAGAUAGGUACUAAUCUAUGUGAGAUCAUAUCUUUAAUGGAAGAGGGGAAGAGAAUCAUUUAGUGACUGAUGUUCAUAUGGAUAUUUUCAUUACUAUCGUGAAAGGUAUUACGAGUUGCUCAUAAGUCGAAUUAUAUUCUACACACAUAAAAGUUCAUAUACUAUCCCAAAACCACACGAAAACAGUGAAGGGCAGCCCGGUGCACUAAAGCUACCAUUAUGCGCGGUGUCCGGGGAAGGUCCCCACCACAAGGGUGUAUCGUACGCAGUCUUACCUUGCAUUUCUGCCAGGGGCUGUUUCCAAGGCUUGAACCCAUGACGAACAACCAAGCAUUCCUGAAAUUUUAAGUCUUGUAGGACCCUUCUCAAGCUAAAUUAAUUGCUGGCAAUACGCAAGUCGAGCAUGUACAUAUUUAAGUCACCAUUACCAAAUCAAAACAGUUAAACCGACAUCGAAAUAACCCCUAAAAUAGUUCACGAAACAUGUAUCAAAAACUUACUGAUUUAAGGAGUUUAUUCUGGGAUGAUUCAAAUUCACAGUUGGCUUAUAAGCAUACCAUCAACUGUACAGGAUACCGAAUGGUGCAAUAAAUAUAGCUUUGAAUUCACCUUUGCAGGCAAUGAAACAAAACACCCAAUUUAUUAAAAAUUUUACAGAUUCAUUCAAGCAAGAUCGCAAACUAAAAAUGUGAACAAACGACCAGCCACUGCACUGUCUCCACUUCAUGAUCAUAUCUAGAAUUAACCCAACAAACUUGAAUGAUAAAUAAAUAGCAAAAAUUAAAUAUAAUACAAUUAUACGGGAUGGAAUUUACUCUUGCAGGUGUUCACAAGACCACCUCCGACUCGCAUCAAAACGUAAAAGAAAAUCUAAACAAUAGGGAUGGCAAACACCUAUACGCACAUAUUCAUAGAAAAACAUAUUCACUCACGAAACAAAUUUCGAAAAUCAAAAUUAUAUUUUAUCCAUAAAACUAACAAUAAUAACAAAAUCACCGACUAGAAAUCAAGGUGAAUGUCAUGUUCAUAGAAUCAAAAUAGAUGAGGAAAAGAAAACAAAAUGAAAUGAAGGAUGCUGAUUCGCACCUUUUUCCGGGUAGCGAAAUUGGAGCUACGACGACAAAGGUUUUUCAACGGCAAAUUCAACUCCGAGGAUUCCGAACGUCUGCACUCUAAUUUGCUGUAUUUUUCACUCAUUUUUUACACUAAUUUCACUCUUUCGUUAAUUUUCUUCCCUUGCCCCAAAGGAAUGGAUGAAACCCUCCUUUAUAGGCAUAUUUUGGAGUGUACAAGCUUCUCAAAAGGCUCUAAAUUGGACUCAAACUUGAAAUUCAAAUUGUUGAUGGGACAAUCCAGAGCUUAAACAGAUACGGUGAGGGGGGGAAAGAUUACCUCUUUCAAAUUGAUUUAAAGUAGAAAAUCGGGUGGAAAAACCUUAUCCUCCUAGGGUGUAGAUUUUCUCCUCUCCACCAAGCUAACAGUGGAGAGGAUGAGACUUCUGCGACCUGAAGAGUCAAAUAAAAUAGGAGAAGGGCGAGAUUUAUGCUGACAACCCCAUUUCCCGCUGAACCAUUUUGAAAAUUCAAUAAAUUUGAGGUGAGGGGGAUGGCUGCACAGGGGAGUGGUUGGAGUUUGUCGUAGGGGCUGUGUAGUGGUGUUGAAGAUGAAGAUGAUAAAAUGAAAGAGAUGACAGACAUGCUUUGAGAGAAAAGCCGUAUUUGGUGCUGCUUUUGUCCACUAAAAUUUG
This 5456-nucleotide long non-coding RNA is filed under the name Capsicum annuum. RNAcentral describes it as "long non-coding RNA (CANN_LNC022515)". Lineage: Eukaryota; Viridiplantae; Streptophyta; Magnoliopsida; Solanales; Solanaceae. The record is from RNAcentral.